RNAcentral lists this ribosomal RNA (440 nucleotides) under uncultured bacterium. RNAcentral describes it as "partial 16S ribosomal RNA". It matches the Rfam family "Bacterial small subunit ribosomal RNA", at positions 338 to 795 of the family's 1533-position model. The record is from RNAcentral.
CCUACGGGUGACAGCAGUGGGGAAUAUUGCACAAUGGGGGAAACCCUGAUGCAGCGACGCCGCGUGAGUGAAGAAGUAAUUCGUUAUGUAAAGCUCUAUCAGCAGGGAAGAAAAUGACGGUACCUGAGUAAGAAGCCACGGCUAACUACGUGCCAGCAGCCGCGGUAAGACGUAGGGGGCAAGCGUUAUCCGGAUUUACUGGGUGUAAAGGGAGCGUAGACGGCAGUUCAACUCUUGAGUGAAAGGCGGGGGACCAACCCCCGGACUGCUCUGGAAACUGUACGGCUGGAGUGCAGGAGAGGUAAGUGGAAUUCCUAGUGUAGCGGUGAAAUGCGUAAAUAUAAGGAGGAACACCAGUGGCGAAGGCGGCUUACUGGACUGUUACUGACGUUGAGGCUCGAAAGCGUGGGGAGCAAACAGGAUUAGAUACCCCGGUAGUC